GGAAUAUUGCACAAUGGGCGCAAGCCUGAUGCAGCCAUGCCGCGUGUAUGAAGAAGGCCUUCGGGUUGUAAAGUACUUUCAGCGGGGAGGAAGGCGGUGAGGUUAAUAACCUUACCGAUUGACGUUACCCGCAGAAGAAGCACCGGCUAACUCCGUGCCAGCAGCCGCGGUAAUACGGAGGGUGCAAGCGUUAAUCGGAAUUACUGGGCGUAAAGCGCACGCAGGCGGUCUGUUAAGUCAGAUGUGAAAUCCCCGGGCUUAACCUGGGAACUGCAUUUGAAACUGGCAGGCUUGAGUCUUGUAGAGGGGGGUAGAAUUCCAGGUGUAGCGGUGAAAUGCGUAGAGAUCUGGAGGAAUACCGGUGGCGAAGGCGGCCCCCUGGACAAAGACUGACGCUCAGGUGCGAAAGCGUGGGGAGCAAACAGGAUUAGAUACCCGAG
This 440-nucleotide ribosomal RNA is filed under the name uncultured Pantoea sp. RNAcentral describes it as "bacterial SSU rRNA". It matches the Rfam family "Bacterial small subunit ribosomal RNA", at positions 358 to 790 of the family's 1533-position model. The record is from RNAcentral. Lineage: Bacteria; Pseudomonadati; Pseudomonadota; Gammaproteobacteria; Enterobacterales; Erwiniaceae.